This 5494-nucleotide long non-coding RNA is filed under the name Taeniopygia guttata (zebra finch). Its description in RNAcentral is "lncRNA (ENSTGUG00000029255.1)". Lineage: Eukaryota; Metazoa; Chordata; Aves; Passeriformes; Estrildidae. The record is from RNAcentral.
UUUUUUUUUGUUUUUUUGUUUUGUUUUGUUUUUUUUGGGGGGUGGAGGCAAAACCUAUCCUAUGAAAGGAUCUGUGGUUUGGAUGUUAUUGUUUAUCUGUAAAAACAAACUUUUGGGGUUUGGGGGUCCCCCCCCAGAACAUACACAUGGCUAAAAGUUCCCACAAGUUAAAUUUCAGAAUUGUCUUCAAAUGGCCACAGCACCAAAGCUUACUGCUAAUGAGUUGCAGAUCUGCAUCUUAAUUGAACAUCCAGAUUCCCGCUUACAAAAGAAGGAUGCGGUCAACAAGAACAAAUAACAUUAGUGAGCCAAAGCAACAAUAAUUUAGAAGAGAUUUGCCGGGAGGAGAGCACAGUAAGUGCCAUAAAUAUCGGCCAAAUUGCUGAAGACACGGCUGGUGAAAAGCCCGGGCAGUGCAGCUUCAAGGGAACCAUCCCCAAAAAUAUCAGCGCAGCUUUCCGGGCUCCUCUCCCUGCGAAUGGGGAUGUUCCCUGGGCAGCAAUAACCGGGAGCAGCCCGGGAAUAAAGGGGAAGGACGGGAAUAAGGGCACAAAGCCGGGGCCCAUGCUGGGCGGCUAAUUAAAACAAUUACAAAGACAAAGCAGCUAUCAGUAGCAUUCCGAGCAGCAAACAAAGAGAUAAAGUAGCGGAGACUUAAAUCAUCAAUGGUUGAUCUCUCCAGGAUGGUUUUAUGCGGUCCCCACGUCUCCUCUCUCCCCUCUCAAAUCAGGGAGCUGGUUCAUUUUUGGGAAUUUCAGCACAAAAUAUUUGGGAACGGGCCUCUAAAAUAGCUUCAAAAAACUGUGGUGAAGUAAGGCUUUGCUGUUUUUUGGAAGUUUCUGGCUUGUAAACUUGGGGUAGUUUUGUUUUUGGAUUUACAGGAUGGUUUCUUUAAAGCUCACUAAAGAGAUUACAGCUUUUAUGCAUAACCCCCAUCUCUUCUCCACCAGCAAUUACAGGCAUAAACCAGAAAUGCCUCGGUUUUAAUUCCAGGUUUUCACAGGCAGGGAGGAUAAACAUAUACCAUGGAGGGAAUCAAUAGGAGGAGAAUAGAUGGCUGCAUAAAUUAGGCAAGUCUCUCAGAUCCUGUUAAAGAUUUCCCCCAAAGUUUCGAUAAAGACGGUUCCACAGAGCAGUCUAUAUAUAGAAAAAUGGUAAGCAAGCCUGGAGUGUUUGCAAGGCAGGCUGGGGUAAUACUUUAGACAAACACCUUGAGUGAGGAGUGUAAACAGUGACAGUUGUUUUUCUCAUACACCGAAUUAAAGGCAGCUUCUCCAGAGGGGCUGUUCCAUUUCAUACCAUCUAUGUGCCCCAGCAGAAAAUGUUACUUUACAGAACCCCACUUUUCAACAAAAAGCUUUUUGGAAGCCUUUGUUGUACUGAUUUUGUUAUCUCCAGGCCAGUUUACCCAAGGCUUACUGCGAACUAUAGAGCAACUAUGAGCAAAAAUAUGUGAGUUUACAGUGGUUUUUCAUUUGCUAAAUUAAUCAGAGUAAAGCAAAGAGCAGGGCCGGGUGUGGCAGCUCUGUAACCGAAUUGCAUUCUGACUUGCACUCAGCUGUUCUUUUAAUCAUGGGGACAAAGAGCCAAAAACUCCAAGUAGCCAACGAGAAACCUGGAGGGGCAAUGGCAGCUUUUUCUGAUUGUUUCCUCUGAUGGCAGAAAAAUUAUUUGGGAUACAGCUGAAAUAAAUCAGUAAAUAAACUGUUAACAUGAAAAAUUGCAAGCAUGGAUUAUUUUUUUCAGAACUGUCCCUUCAAAAAUGUAUUUAAUAAACUUGGAAUUAAAAGCUGCAUAAAAGUGUCUACAUAAAUGUGCAGUUUCCCACCAAACCAUUCCUGCAACUGUUGUUAGGAAAACACAAUCACUCUACCCAUGUCUGAGAAAUUAAGGACUAAGGAUGGUAAACGAGGAACUUUUUAAUGGGUUUUAAAAGCUCUGCAAACAGCCUGAGGAAAACAUGAUUCUUUGGGAAAGAAGAUGAUAAAUCUGAUUUUCCCUGCAGGUUCCAUUUGAGUACACGUUUAUAUGUGCAAUCCUUUAGUGUUGCUGAUGGAUCUCCAUAACAGGGGAGAGGACAGAAUGCAACUUUAUAGCUUAUUAAACAUAUUUUUGCAUAUUAUUGGGUUCAUAGCCUCAGAAUGCCAAAAGGUAAUAGAAGCAAAACCCUCUGAAUUAGACUCUCAGAAUUUAUUUGGAAAGAACAGAACAAAAGGAAAGAUGUAUUUGGUGUUUUAAACAUGUCCUAAACGUAGUAUGACAUUGUGAAGAGGUUUCAAGAAAUGAUUGUUGUUAUUGUUCUUUCAUUGCAAAAGCUCCAUGAAACCUCUAAUUUCUGCUGGCAGAUUUCAUGCUAAUUUUGUAGUCACUUCUACAAGAGCAGGAUCUGAAUAACCUGAGGAUGUCAUAAAUGAAAGCCUCCCAAACAUCAGGAUCAGGCUGACACUGAGCAUGGAACUGCUCUGCCAAACAGAAAGAACACAUUACUCCUAACACAGAAACAUCAGCAAAUGACAAAUUCAUUUAAACACUCAAAAGUUUCCUCACUGAUCUGAGCCUAAUUCGUUAUCUGAAUCCAACCCCCAGAAAACCAGCUGGGUUUUACAGGCAGGGGGGUGGCACCAGGAUGGUCCCUGGGCAAGGGCUGGCAGCAGCAGACACUGGCCCCCAAGAGAGCACUACCUUUGACCUGAGGCCAUAAAGAAAAAAUCCAAAAUUAAAUAAUAAAGCUGAGAUGAUGAGCGUGUAGUUUGAAUAGAAGUCUAUAAUAUCACAUAGUAAAAUACUGAGAGUUUAAAGGUUUAGAAGAUAGUAAUAUAUAUAAAGCAAGGUAGAAGUUUUAACAUGGAAGCUAGUCCUUCUUCUUCACCUACUUCUUCAUCUUCUUCUUCACUUUGGGUAGUAUUGUGUAAUUAAAGUCCACAUUGCAAAACACAAGUAGUUAGUUAUUGAAUUAAAAGUAAAAAUAAUUUAAGUAUCAUUUCUUAAUUAACAGUUUAUCCUUAAAAAGCCUUGUAGGAAGAGAAACACAACUCCAUUUUUAGCUUGUUAGAGUAAACCAUUGUAAAGCUAACAGUUUGUAAGUCUAUAGUAGAAAUAAAAACUAAUAAACAUCUAAGUCCAAACAAGAAAUACAGUCUCAUACUUUUAAUCCCAGCCUAAACAAAAAAUCGACAUAGUGGUGAUCCCUGUGAUCAUCAGCCGCUCCUGCUGGUUCUGUGCCUCGGGGCAUCCCAGGAGGGGAGCAGACAAUGCCCUUCCUGGUGGGUUCUGGGGGUGUGGAGGGGCCUCAGAGCUCCAGGAUGGUUUAAAAUUCCCUUGGUGGUUCUGGAGGUGCCCCAGGAGCACUUUCAGCUCUGCUCCCACCCCACUGCUGCCUCCUGGGUGCAUCUGCUCACUCCACAGCUGGUACCAGGAGCAGGGUGAGGAGGCAGCAUCAGGGCACUGAAUCAAAGUAAAGAGGGACAAACAGGAAAAUGUGCUGGUCAAUGUUAAACCCAUUGCUCCCACAGCAAAAUAUUCCUUUAUCUGUCCCCAGUUUUCUCUCUCUCUGCAAGUUUUACAAAGCCUCGGUUGGGCAUUUCAGUUCUAACAAGGGAACUCGUUUGCUCAGCUAUAAGUUGCAAUUAUUAACAAAAUGACAUCCCACAGCUUCUGAAGAGGCUCCAGCCACUCCAUUUUCUGACCAAACCCAAAACUUGCCCCUGAUGUUUAUUAACCAGCGCAGCUGCUUUGAACACAUCAGGGAGAAAGACAAGGACCUUAAGCCCUGUUUGUAUAAUAAUGGCAGCACUGUGCAUACUACUGGGCCUAACUCUAAAAACAUCCCAUCUUUUGUCUCUGGCCACCAGCAGCAGCUGUGAGUCCUGCCCCACCAUGGUGCCCUGGAACACUGUGUGGGCACUGCCCAAAUCUUGCCAAGCUUUUCAUCACACCCACAGGCCAGAGAUGAAAUUCAUACAGCUGCUCCUGGCACCUCUUGCUCGUGAGCCCUCCUUGGUAGGGCAUGGAGGUUCAUUUCUAACAAAGCUUUGGGCAUGGAGGUUCACUUUUAACAAAGCUUUGGGCAUGGAGGUUCAUUUCUAACAAAGCUCUGGGCAUGGAAAUUAAUUGUUUUUCAUUUCUAACAAAGCUCUGGGCCCAGGGAGGGCUGGUGAACGUGAGUCUCAGCAGGCAGCUGGCACAGGAGGGCACAGCCCAGCUUUGGGCAGCCUGGGGCAGUGGAAUCCUCUUUCCCAGACCAGGACAUUUGGGAUGCUGCUGGGAUUUCCAGCACAGGUGGGUGCUGCAGCCUCCAUGAGGCAUUCAGGGUGUCCUGGAGGUGUCUUCCAUGCUCCCUCUGGGAUGGAUUUGGUGCUCCCAGCCCAGCAGAGCCUUUUUCACCCAUCCUGCCAUGGGUGCUGAGCUUGCUCCUUGCAAACACCAAAUUUUGCACAUCCCAGAGCUUCAAAGCUCAGAGCAUCACAGCAACAGCCUUAGGGAGGAGGAUUGGAUCUGUCUGAACACCCAAAAUUCCUUUUCCUACAACUCCAGAACCCUGUGCAGUGCUGAUACAGUGACACAUUAUCUCACGGUGUAACUGCUGUUCCUCAGAGCAAGAAGAGUUUAGCAGGCUCUGCCUUGAAUAAUUUCAAAACUCAGAGCAUCCCCCAGCAGAGUUUCUGGCAGAAAAAAACCCCUAAAGUUGCUAAAUAAUAGAGAACCAAAGCUGCUGUAUUUUGACAAUUGUAAUACACAUAAGAUUAAAAAUUCCCUAAGAAAUAAUUCCUUCUACUUUUAAUAAUAGCUUCAGUUAGAGACCUUUUCUACUUAAUCAACCUGCUUAAAAUUCCUGCCUCCAGCAGGAAAGAAUCUCAAUCACAGGGAGACAAACAUUCAUUAAGCCUUGUACAAUAAACCUGCUCUGCAGCUGAAGUGCUAUUAAUAUCAUUUUACAGAAGGAGGAAAUGGAAGAAUAGUGAGAUGGGAGUAACUUGCUCGGGGUCACAAAAAGGUUCAUGAAAGCAUGGUCGAGCAGUAAACCUUGAAUCAGAGAGCUCUGCCCCGAGCCAGCACAGCCUCCCUUUCCCUCCACACUGCUCUUUGCCACCCAUCCCUUGUUUUAUUUCACAGCCAUCAAUUGUAUCAGAUGUGGGUAGUUGCUUUCUUGGAGAUCUGAACAUUUACCCCACAACAGGAAGGCAAUUCUUUUCAUCCUCACUUAUAUUCCUAAUUAACGAGCACUGUUAAAGGGGUGCAGCUCCCCCUCACUGCCCAGUCUCUCCCAGUACAGAGAACUGGCAGGAAUCUGGCAGGCAGCAGCUGCCCUGCCAAAAUAAAUGUGCUGGGAAUCCUCAGCAGGUGAGGAGGGACCAACCUGAGCUGGCUCUGUGCGGCAGGAGGCACCAGUUCAAUUAUUUUACUGGUAAGGAAGUAAAAUACAGACCAGAGCCGUUAAGCAGUGGUAGAAUUAUAAGGAAAAAAAAGUUUCUGUGAGAGAGGAUGGAGGAGCUGG